Molecule: long non-coding RNA, 963 nt
Filed under: Homo sapiens (human)
Lineage: Eukaryota; Metazoa; Chordata; Mammalia; Primates; Hominidae
Description: non-protein coding GATA3-AS1:11
Source: RNAcentral
CGGCCUCGGGACCCACGGGGAAGGAAGGGGGAAGGGAGCGAGGCUGGAGAGGCUGCGGCGCGUGGCCUGAGGCGGAGAGCCGGGCUGCGGGGGUCCGGGCCAGGCCAGGCGCCGGCCUGACCCGCCUCGCCGGCAAGAGCAGGCCGGGCUUCCUCCUCCCUUGGCGGGCGGGGGAGGGAAAGGGGGAUCCUGGCCGGGGGUAAGGGGGAAAGGUGGUCCUGAUUCUCCCUGUGCCACCGCCACAAAGCUGAUCCUGGCCUCCUGCGGAGAAGCCUGAGCGCCUUCCCGCAGACCUGACGCGACCCCCUCCCAGGUACCUGGGCCUCGGCCUGGUCUAGCGAGUCCCCUUCCUCCCAAGGAGCAGCCGGCGGAGCUCGGGUGGAGGAAAGCGAGGAGGCGACCAGGAGGAUGCCGCCGCCGCCGCCGCAGGGCCCGGGGCUUCUGCAGGGCGCAAGGCCUCCCUCACCAGGGUAAGGGGCUGGCGAUCAACCUGGACGCCUGGGACCUUGGGAGCAAGCAUCCCGCAGCCGAGCAGGCGACGGCGCGGCCACCGCCUAGAGAGGAGCCGGGGCCCGGGGCGGCGUGCGGGUCGGCAGCAGCCGGCUUGGCCUAUCCGAAACCCCAGGCCUGGAAGCGGCUGCUUUAGGCGUCAAGUUGAGCGGGGUAUGUGUGUCCUCUUGGGAAAAAGGCAGAAGAAAGAAGCGGAGCCGAGCCGAGCCGCCGAGUCCCUCCCCCCGGAGCCCCGGAGCCCCGGCGCCUGCCUGGGCGGUCCCGGCCGCGCAGACAGAAAAGAAGCCGGGAAUCUGCGGGGCUGGGGGGCGGGGAGCGACACCAAAGGCCAGAAACUGCAGCACGGCCCGAGGCCCUGGCGAGCUGGGCCUGGGGGAGGAGAAGUCCCUUCCCAUUCCAGCUCGAUCAAUCUUGCUGGGCUGCGAUCGGUCAAUAAAAACGGUGUGAAGCGGC